AGUCUGGUGGUGGGUGCGGAGUCUGCGGCCGUUCCCGCGGCCUCCUCCUCCUCCCCGUUCCCUUCACCCCCACCCCGCACCCCUUUCCCCAUCCCGGCUCCGUCACCCUCCCGCCCCCCACACUCAGGACAAGAAUGCCCUGCCCGGAACAACCCAGCAGCGCCUAGAUGGCUUUGGUCACGGUCCAGCGGUCACCUACCCCCAGCACCACCUCCAGCCCCUGCGCCUCGAGCUCUCAUUUGGAAGACAGUGAAUCAGCAGCAUUACUUUGCUGUGAAUGUGAAGAAUCAGAAAUCUUUACUGAUUCCAAUGAGGCAGACAGUGGGGAGGAAGAAUGCCGGUCACAGCCCAGGAGGUAUGUUUGUUCAUUAUAUCCUACGGCAUUUUUGUUGUAGGAUAUUUUUGUAGUAGUUGUUUUUUCUCUAAUUCUUUUUCAGUCUUAUCAGAUUAGCUUAUCCUUGUUUUUCUACGUGCUUCCUUGGUCUCUCAAGAAACCAGAUUGCAGCUGGGCAUGGUGGCUUGUGCCUGUAAUUCCAGCUACUUGGGAUUGCUUAAGGCCAGGAGUUCGAGACAACGUAUCAGGACCUUCCUCCCUUUAAAAAAAAAAAAAAGAGUAAGAGCGAAUGCUUU
This 630-nucleotide small RNA is filed under the name Pan troglodytes (chimpanzee). RNAcentral's name for it is "retained intron". The record is from RNAcentral. Lineage: Eukaryota; Metazoa; Chordata; Mammalia; Primates; Hominidae.